AUUGAACGCUGGCGGCAGGCCUAACACAUGCAAGUCGAACGAGUGGCGGACGGGUGAGUAAUGUAUGGGAAACUGCCCGAUGGAGGGGGAUAACUACUGGAAACGGUAGCUAAUACCGCAUACCAGCGGAUGAGCCCAGAGGGGAUUAGCUAGUAGGUGGGGUACCGGCUCACCGAGGCGACGAUCCCUAGCUGGUCUGAGAGGAUGAACAGCCACACUGGAACUGAGACACGGUCCAGACUCCUACGGGAGGCAGCAGUGGGGAAUAUUGCACAAUGGGCGCAAGCCUGAUGCAGCCAUGCCGCGUGUAUGAAGAAGGCCUUCGGGUUGUAAAGUACUUUCAGCGAGGAGGCGUUACUCGCAGAAGAAGCACCGGCUAACUCCGUGCCAGCCGCCGCGGUAAUUC
Molecule: ribosomal RNA, 406 nt
Filed under: uncultured bacterium
Lineage: Bacteria
Description: partial 16S ribosomal RNA
Rfam family: Bacterial small subunit ribosomal RNA
Source: RNAcentral